CAAGUCAUCAUGGCCCUUAUGAGCUGGGCUACACACGUGCUACAAUGGGCAGUACAGAGGGCUGCAAACCCGCGAGGGGGAGCUAAUCUCACAAAACUGUUCGUAGUCCGGAUCGCAGUCUGCAACUCGACUGCGUGAAGUCGGAAUCGCUAGUAAUCGCAGAUCAGAAUGCUGCGGUGAAUACGUUCCCGGGCCUUGUACACACCGCCCGUCACACCAUGGGAGUGGGUUGCAAAAGAAGUAGGUAGCUUAACCUUCGGGAGGGCGCUUACCACUUUGUGAUUCAUGACUGGGGUGAAGUCGUAACAAG
This 310-nucleotide ribosomal RNA is filed under the name uncultured bacterium. Its description in RNAcentral is "bacterial SSU rRNA". It matches the Rfam family "Bacterial small subunit ribosomal RNA", at positions 1186 to 1495 of the family's 1533-position model. The record is from RNAcentral.